GGGUUGUGAGGUUAAGCGACUAAGCGUACACGGUGGAUGCCCUGGCAGUCAGAGGCGAUGAAGGACGUGCUAAUCUGCGAUAAGCGUCGGUGAGGUGAUAUGAACCGUUAUAACCGGCGAUUUCCGAAUGGGGAAACCCAGUGUGUUUCGACACACUAUCAUUAACUGAAUCCAUAGGUUAAUGAGGCGAACCGGGGGAACUGAAACAUCUAAGUACCCCGAGGAAAAGAAAUCAACCGAGAUUCCCCCAGUAGCGGCGAGCGAACGGGGAGGAGCCCAGAGCCUGAAUCAGUGUGUGUGUUAGUGGAAGCGUCUGGAAAGGCGUGCGAUACAGGGUGACAGCCCCGUACACAAAAAUGCACAUAUUGUGAGCUCGAUGAGUAGGGCGGGACACGUGGUAUCCUGUCUGAAUAUGGGGGGACCAUCCUCCAAGGCUAAAUACUCCUGACUGACCGAUAGUGAACCAGUACCGUGAGGGAAAGGCGAAAAGAACCCCGGCGAGGGGAGUGAAAAAGAACCUGAAACCGUGUACGUACAAGCAGUGGGAGCCUCUUAAUGGGGUGACUGCGUACCUUUUGUAUAAUGGGUCAGCGACUUAUAUUCUGUAGCAAGGUUAACCGAAUAGGGGAGCCGAAGGGAAACCGAGUCUUAACUGGGCGUUAAGUUGCAGGGUAUAGACCCGAAACCCGGUGAUCUAGCCAUGGGCAGGUUGAAGGUUGGGUAACACUAACUGGAGGACCGAACCGACUAAUGUUGAAAAAUUAGCGGAUGACUUGUGGCUGGGGGUGAAAGGCCAAUCAAACCGGGAGAUAGCUGGUUCUCCCCGAAAGCUAUUUAGGUAGCGCCUCGUGAAUUCAUCUCCGGGGGUAGAGCACUGUUUCGGCAAGGGGGUCAUCCCGACUUACCAACCCGAUGCAAACUGCGAAUACCGGAGAAUGUUAUCACGGGAGACACACGGCGGGUGCUAACGUCCGUCGUGAAGAGGGAAACAACCCAGACCGCCAGCUAAGGUCCCAAAGUCAUGGUUAAGUGGGAAACGAUGUGGGAAGGCCCAGACAGCCAGGAUGUUGGCUUAGAAGCAGCCAUCAUUUAAAGAAAGCGUAAUAGCUCACUGGUCGAGUCGGCCUGCGCGGAAGAUGUAACGGGGCUAAACCAUGCACCGAAGCUGCGGCAGCGACACUAUGUGUUGUUGGGUAGGGGAGCGUUCUGUAAGCCUGUGAAGGUGGCCUGUGAGGGUUGCUGGAGGUAUCAGAAGUGCGAAUGCUGACAUAAGUAACGAUAAAGCGGGUGAAAAGCCCGCUCGCCGGAAGACCAAGGGUUCCUGUCCAACGUUAAUCGGGGCAGGGUGAGUCGACCCCUAAGGCGAGGCCGAAAGGCGUAGUCGAUGG
RNAcentral lists this ribosomal RNA (1388 nucleotides) under Escherichia coli. RNAcentral describes it as "partial 23S ribosomal RNA". It matches the Rfam family "Bacterial large subunit ribosomal RNA", at positions 1 to 1421 of the family's 2925-position model. Lineage: Bacteria; Pseudomonadati; Pseudomonadota; Gammaproteobacteria; Enterobacterales; Enterobacteriaceae. The record is from RNAcentral.